Molecule: ribosomal RNA, 435 nt
Filed under: Triticum aestivum (bread wheat)
Lineage: Eukaryota; Viridiplantae; Streptophyta; Magnoliopsida; Poales; Poaceae
Description: partial small subunit ribosomal RNA
Source: RNAcentral
AUGGUCUCCUCCUCCCCAGAGAAAGGAAAUCAAUCAUAUCUCACAAAUUGGAGCAAGGAAUUUAGGAAAUUGAUCUGGUGCGCUCACGCCAUGGAAUCUCUCCUCCUCCUCCCAUGGAAAAAACAAACAAAUCUCUCUCAAAUUGGAGCAACCAAGAUGGGGAAUAGAUCAGUCCUAGGAUUCAAUCCUAGGUUUGCUGACGUACGCUCUUUGGGCACUUCGUGGAGAUCGCGACGGGGCAGAACCAAGCCCAUGCCCUCAAAAUCCCUCAAAAAAGUCAUCUUCUCCACGUCUCUUACUCUCCCUGUAAAAAAACAAUCGUGCUCCAUAGUCUCUCCUCCUCCCCACGUUCUCUCCUCCCCAUGGUCUCCUCCUCCCCAGAGAAAGGAAAUCAAUCAUAUCUCUCAAAUUGGAGCAAGGAAAUUAGGAAAUUGA